RNAcentral lists this small nucleolar RNA (89 nucleotides) under Nomascus leucogenys (northern white-cheeked gibbon). Its description in RNAcentral is "Small nucleolar RNA SNORA48 (ENSNLEG00000019957.2)". It matches the Rfam family "Small nucleolar RNA SNORA48", at positions 42 to 135 of the family's 135-position model. From Rfam's summary of the family: The snoRNA ACA 48 has been identified to guide pseudouridylation of the residue U3797 in the 28S rRNA subunit. The record is from RNAcentral. Lineage: Eukaryota; Metazoa; Chordata; Mammalia; Primates; Hylobatidae.
CAUCUCCUAUCAGUUAGUGAUGAAGCAAUCCCUUGUUCAUCCCCAGCUUGGCUUUUGAUCUAUGCCUGGUUCAUGCCUUGGACACAUGG